This 195-nucleotide small nuclear RNA is filed under the name Ricinus communis (castor bean). Its description in RNAcentral is "U2 spliceosomal RNA". It matches the Rfam family "U2 spliceosomal RNA". From Rfam's summary of the family: U2 is a small nuclear RNA (snRNA) component of the spliceosome (involved in pre-mRNA splicing). Complementary binding between U2 snRNA (in an area lying towards the 5' end but 3' to hairpin I) and the branchpoint sequence (BPS) of the intron results the bulging out of an unpaired adenosine, on the BPS, which initiates a nucleophilic attack at the intronic 5' splice site, thus starting the first of two transesterification reactions that mediate splicing. The record is from Rfam by way of RNAcentral. Lineage: Eukaryota; Viridiplantae; Streptophyta; Magnoliopsida; Malpighiales; Euphorbiaceae.
AUACUUUUUUCGAUCUUUUGGCUAAGAUCAAGUGUAGUAUAUGUUCUUAUCAAUUUAAUAUUUAACACGUGAAUCAUUAAUUAACAUGAUGUUAUAUUUAUUUUUUAGGGAGAGGGCUCAUCACUAUAGCUUGCUAUUGCAGUCCUUGAGCGUUGCCUGUGUGUUGCACUAUAGCACAGGCCUGGUGCAACCCUC